Long non-coding RNA from Mauremys reevesii (Reeves's turtle), 506 nucleotides. RefSeq lists it as uncharacterized. The record is from RefSeq and is a predicted model, not a curated record. Lineage: Eukaryota; Metazoa; Chordata; Testudines; Geoemydidae. The transcript has 3 exons.
GUGUGGAGCCGCCUUCACCCCACCCUCCUCCCCCCUGCCAGGGGCCGCAGAGACAUACCAGCAUCCAGCCACUUCUGGGAGUGGCGUGAGGCCACGGCAUGCAGGCAGCCUGCCUGAGCGCCUCGCUGUGCCACAAGACUUUUAGUGGCCCAGAGCUGGAGUUAAUACACUGUUAGUUUGCUACAGUAUUGAUACAGCCUUGUCUUUGGUUUGAGAUCUGAGGACAAAUGACCUGGGGCACUUUGGCGUUCCCACCUUGGAUGGCCUUGUUCUGUACUGUGCUGUCAUUAUCAAAGGGAAGUGUGUAAAAUAACUCUUCAUCGCACCAGGAGAAUUUAUUGCUACAAUAAAAAUAAAGGCCCCCUAGGUUCACUGAGUCCACUGUCCUGAAGACAGAGAGAGUAAGCUUGAGGAAUUUACUGCAGCAUACCACUGGGUCAUUGUACCUACCUGAAGAGUUGGCUCAGCAGACAGCUGGAGACAUCAAUAAAGAAAAUGCAGCCUAA